UGAUCUGUACCAAAGUUUCUACAUCUGACUGAAAAAAAAAUGCUCUUCUUGAGAAAAACCAAGAGCAGGUGACUCUUUAGUGAUUCAGUUUUGAUCUCCCAGCAAACCUCUACUUAAAGGUUUAGCCUCUUCAUUACAUGCACCUUUGGCUGCUAAUUGCUGCUGAUCGAGUGAAAAUUAGUAAAAUAGGCAUCUUGUAACGUAAGAAUUCACGUUGAAUGAUGAUGGAGAAAGAUUGUAGUGUUAAGGCUGUAGGGUCAGGUCUAUGUUAAGCAGCUCUGAUGGUUGCAUGUGUUCUGAUACCAUGUGAAAAGUAAAACUACCUGGCUAUUCUGCAGUUGUUGCUUCCACAGGCACAAUUGCUGUCUGGCUCACCUCAAAUCCCUUAACAUUUUUUGAAUCUUGCUAUCAUAAGGUCCCAUUCCCUACUUGUUUUGUGGACAAGUGAAUGAGAGUGAACACCAAGUGAUUGGAAUAUUGGUUUACUAGCAAGCAAGCUUAUCGUUGCCAUAUGCCUCUCACACUGGUACCUUUUGAUUGCUCCUCUCACCCUCAUGUGGGUGUUCCGGUGGCCACCAAGUUCUUGUGAAAUAUAGAACUUUCUCUUGCAGAAGCUACACUAGAAAACUUUGCUGGCAGUGGAUUUUGAUCGUGAACCCUGCUCCAUAUCCAUGAUGCAGUUUUUUCCUGCCGGGACUAAAGUUCAAGCACUCAUUUGAACGACCCUUCUUCAUAUCUCUGGAGUAACUAUCGCUAAAUGUUUUACUUUUCUGGUUGAUGACUGAUGCUCAUGUUAGUUCCAUGUUCUGGAAAAUCAUCUUAACCGUGUGUUGAUUUGAAAGGAGGCAGUCAAGGAAGCUAUACUAUUAGGCUCUUUAUACGUUGUCGAUGUGCCUCAAGAGGAUUGGCUGAUAUACAACAAGAAGAUCAAAGAAACGAACUCAGAGAUAUAUCUCAUGAAUUUCUAGUUCUUGUUGACAUCACUGGAAGAGACGCAUUGAUUAAUCAAGAGGUUGAAGAAAGGAGCGGCUAGAAGGGGUGCAAAGAGACCGAGGAUAGCCUAGCUUUAUCCGCACAGAUUAUUGCACUACUACUUCUGCCGACUGAAGGUUUUAUUUGCUAAUCGCGAUGAUAAGAGGUGCAGAUAGGUAUAUUUUAUAUGAACUCAAGGAACAUUCCACCUUCCUUUGUCCUAGUGGGCUCGUGUAGUUGUCUUAUACAGGGCAAAGUGUUUGGAGAACGAACAUAGAAUCAAGGUGUUCGUGAGAAAUCCUGAGGAAACAGGUAGACCCGAAUUCUCUACUUGCUUUCAUACGCCGGUAAGGCAUUGGCAAUUGAAGCUUCCAUGUCACAACAUGACCAGUGUGGCUGGUGGAUUGAUGACCCAGGAGGUUGGAACAGAGAGUUGUCUAAUCGAAAUUGCACCUUAUCCACAAACGGAGCAUCUAGAUGGUGCUGGGUUCAGCUACAAUGGUGGAAACUAGGCCAGGUUCUCACAGAUGGAAUGUACAAAAGUGCCUUAAACUACUAUUAUAUGGUUCUCUAGAUUCCCGCCCCAAAAUGGCAUGCCCCAAGUACUUUUACACUUGCAAUAAAAUCGGCACCCUUCUUUGGAAGAUCA
Long non-coding RNA from Populus trichocarpa (black cottonwood), 1621 nucleotides. RefSeq lists it as uncharacterized. The transcript has 3 exons. The record is from RefSeq and is a predicted model, not a curated record. NCBI's taxonomy places the organism in Eukaryota, Viridiplantae, Streptophyta, Magnoliopsida, Malpighiales, Salicaceae.